Molecule: ribosomal RNA, 332 nt
Filed under: uncultured bacterium
Lineage: Bacteria
Description: bacterial SSU rRNA
Rfam family: Bacterial small subunit ribosomal RNA
Source: RNAcentral
CGUGUAGGCGGGUCGGAAAGUCGGGCGUGAAAUCCCUAGGCUCAACCUAGGAACUGCACUCGAAACUCCCGGUCUUGAGUGGUGGAGAGGGAAGUGGAAUUCCUGGUGUAGAGGUGAAAUUCGUAGAUAUCAGGAGGAACACCAGUGGCGAAGGCGGCUUCCUGGACACCAACUGACGCUGAGACGCGAAAGCGUGGGGAGCAAACAGGAUUAGAUACCCUGGUAGUCCACGCUGUAAACGAUGGGCACUAGGUGUCGCGGGUUUUGACCCCCGCGGUGCCGUAGCAAACGCGUUAAGUGCCCCGCCUGGGGAGUACGGCCGCAAGGCUAAA